This 192-nucleotide ribosomal RNA is filed under the name Sticta sp. Its description in RNAcentral is "5.8S ribosomal RNA". The stretch from base 3 to 156 matches the Rfam family "5.8S ribosomal RNA". Rfam says of the family: 5.8S ribosomal RNA (5.8S rRNA) is a component of the large subunit of the eukaryotic ribosome. It is transcribed by RNA polymerase I as part of the 45S precursor that also contains 18S and 28S rRNA. Functionally, it is thought that 5.8S rRNA may be involved in ribosome translocation. The record is from RNAcentral. Lineage: Eukaryota; Fungi; Ascomycota; Lecanoromycetes; Peltigerales; Lobariaceae.
AAAACUUUCAACAACGGAUCUCUUGGUUCCGGCAUCGAUGAAGAACGCAGCGAAAUGCGAUAAGUAAUGUGAAUCGCAGAAUUCAGUGAAUCAUCGAAUCUUUGAACGCACAUUGCGCCCCUUGGUAUUCCGAGGGGCAUACCUGUUCGAGCGUCAUUGCACCCCUCACGCCCCCUCUCGGGCGUGGUCUUG